Molecule: ribosomal RNA, 728 nt
Filed under: uncultured bacterium
Lineage: Bacteria
Description: bacterial SSU rRNA
Rfam family: Bacterial small subunit ribosomal RNA
Source: RNAcentral
GAGUUUGAUCCUGGCUCAGAACGUACGCUGGCGGCACGCCUAACACAUGCAAGUCGAACGAAGUAGCAAUACUUAGUGGCAGACGGGUGAGUAACAUGUAGGUAUCUGCCCUUUGGCCUGGAAUAACACGAGGAAACUUGUGCUAAUACCGGAUAAGUCUUUACGGAGAAAGCUUUAUGCACCAUUGGAUGAGCCUGCACUUGAUUAGUUUGUUGGUGGGGUAAUGGCCUACCAAGACUGUGAUCAAUAGCUGAUUUGAGAGGAUGAUCAGCCACAUUGGGACUGAGACACGGCCCAAACUCCUACGGGAGGCAGCAGUGGGGAAUCUUGCACAAUGGAGGAAACUCUGAUGCAGCGAUGCCGCGUGAGUGAAGAAGGCCCUUGGGUUGUAAAGCUCUUUCGUCGGGGAAGAAAAUGACUGUACCCGAAUAAGAAGGUCCGGCUAACUUCGUGCCAGCAGCCGCGGUAAUACGAAGGGACCUAGCGUAGCUCGGAAUUACUGGGCUUAAAGAGUUCGUAGGUGGUUGAAAAAGUUAGUGGUGAAAUCCCAGAGCUUAACUCUGGAACUGCCAUUAAAACUUUUCAGCUAGAGUAUGAUAGAGGAAAGCAGAAUUUCUAGUGUAGAGGUGAAAUUCGUAGAUAUUAGAAAGAAUACCGAUUGCGAAGGCAGCUUUCUGGAUCAUUACUGACACUGAGGAACGAAAGCAUGGGUAGCGAGAGGAUUAGAU